Long non-coding RNA from Rosa chinensis, 502 nucleotides. RefSeq lists it as uncharacterized. The transcript has 2 exons. NCBI's taxonomy places the organism in Eukaryota, Viridiplantae, Streptophyta, Magnoliopsida, Rosales, Rosaceae. The record is from RefSeq and is a predicted model, not a curated record.
GGGUUGUUCAUUUCUUGCAUCUCUGCUUUACGUCAAUUAUUUUUUCUUCAGAUAUUAAUUUAUCGACUUGAUUUGCUUUUACAGACAUGUGAAAACAAAAGACUUUAUUCUGAGCUCCUGUUGCAUGCGCUGGAGCUGCUGGCAUCAUCUGUGUUGCCAAACAAAUGAACACAGAAAAGGGCAGGUACCACGGAUGAUUCAUUUUCUGGUCAGACUGCACACAGAGAAGGGCACGUAUCUGGACGAAUUCUGUAGUUUCAUAGGAAUGUGGAUCUGCUAUAGUUUUCAUGUAUUGGUUGAUUCACCACGUAAUCCAAACAAAUGAACAUGCUGUCAUACUUGAAGCCAGUUUUCUUCUGGCUCGUUCAAUGAAAUUGUGACACAAUAUACAACCAAUCAAUUUGACUUUAUUCGACCAAAAGAAAAAAAAAAUCAAUUGACUUUAUAUUAUUUAUUGUAACCUACUUAGUUUCUUGGAUUCGAUUUGAAGAGCUAACAGAAA